This 369-nucleotide long non-coding RNA is filed under the name Olea europaea (common olive). RNAcentral's name for it is "long non-coding RNA (OEUR_LNC002038)". The record is from RNAcentral. Lineage: Eukaryota; Viridiplantae; Streptophyta; Magnoliopsida; Lamiales; Oleaceae.
CUCCAAAACAAUACGGAAGAAAUGAAAAUCUUCUUUGGAAUAUCUAAAAUAACCAUUCUACUAUACCAUUGCACGUAUCAGUGCUUAAAAGUUAAUUAAUAAUCUAGCGAACAUGAAAUUUUAUCAGUGAAAUAGUAACUUUGAAAAUCAUGUUAACUAAAAAAGUAAGUUUAGCUUUCAUUCAAAUGCAAAUAAAGGCAUGUAAAAUCCCUCCUCUUCUUCUUCUUCUUCAUCAUCAUCAUCAGUAAAAUUACAAUAUUCCUUGCUAAUUAGUUCAAGUAUCCAUGGAGGAAAGAAUGAAAUCCAGCAUCCCGGCAGCAAAUCUGAAGAGCUGAUGCCUCAGAGAAACUGCCCAUAGCCCUAUAAUUG